This 339-nucleotide unclassified non-coding RNA is filed under the name soil metagenome. RNAcentral's name for it is "partial contains 5.8S ribosomal RNA, internal transcribed spacer 2, and large subunit ribosomal RNA". The stretch from base 1 to 120 matches the Rfam family "5.8S ribosomal RNA", at positions 35 to 154 of the family's 154-position model. The record is from RNAcentral.
GAUGAAGAACGCAGCGAAAUGCGAUACGUAGUGUGAGUUGCAGAAUUCAGUGAAUCAUCGAAUCUUUGAACGCACAUUGCACCUCUCGGUAUUCCGGGAGGUAUGCCUGUUCGAGCGUCAUUUGUACCCUCAAGCUCUGCUUGGUGUUGGGUGUUUGUUCCGCCUCUGUGUGUGAACUCGCCUCAAAACAAUUGGCAGCCGGCGUACUUGUUUCGGAGCGCAGCACAUUUUGCGAUCCAGAUCAACGUACAGCGGCAUCCAAGAAGCCUUAUUUAACGCUCUUGACCUCGGAUCAGGUAGGGAUACCCGCUGAACUUAAGCAUAUCAAUAAGCGGAGGA